Non-coding RNA from Pelobates cultripes (western spadefoot toad), 390 nucleotides. NCBI's taxonomy places the organism in Eukaryota, Metazoa, Chordata, Amphibia, Anura, Pelobatidae. The record is from the annotation of a GenBank genome assembly.
CUUGUGCAUUAGAAUUUGGCCAAAUUGUAGUUUAGCGGAAUUUUGGCCAAUCAGCUAUUCAGUUGAAUUCAGCAUUUCCAAUUUGCCAUAUGGAUGUAUAACGUAGUAAACAGCUAAUGCGAUGUUUGACAAACAAAAAUCUGCACACCAGUCAAGCCAUAAGACAUCUUUUCUUAAGUUAUGUGUGACAAAGUGUCCUUCACCACUUGUGCCUGGAGAGGACUAAUUGCCAGCCUCUUGCCGUAUGGCUAUGGCCCCUGGAAGAUUUUGCCCUUUAAAUACGUUAUUUGGGCAUAGUGGAUUUUAUUAGACUGGUUCUGGCCCUUUAAAUGCUCUGACAAAGGAUCUGCAGUUUUGCUAUGCACAUCGGAUGCAGAGUGUGAUGAAAAC